This 400-nucleotide ribosomal RNA is filed under the name uncultured bacterium. Its description in RNAcentral is "bacterial SSU rRNA". It matches the Rfam family "Bacterial small subunit ribosomal RNA", at positions 355 to 752 of the family's 1533-position model. The record is from RNAcentral.
UGAGGAAUAUUGGUCAAUGGACGCAAGUCUGAACCAGCCACGUCGCGUGAAGGAAGACGGCCCUAUGGGUUGUAAACUUCUUUUGUAAGGGAAUAAAGUGCAGUACGUGUACUGUUUUGCAUGUACCUUACGAAUAAGGAUCGGCUAACUCCGUGCCAGCAGCCGCGGUAAUACGGAGGAUCCGAGCGUUAUCCGGAUUUAUUGGGUUUAAAGGGUGCGCAGGCGGGAGAUUAAGUCGGCGGUGAAAUUUUGCAGCUUAACUGUAAAAGUGCCAUCGAUACUGGUUUCCUUGAGUGUAGAUGAAGUAGGCGGAAUUUGUGGUGUAGCGGUGAAAUGCAUAGAUAUCACGAGGAACUCCGAUUGCGCAGGCAGCUUACUAAACUACUACUGACGCUCAGGC